This 99-nucleotide ribosomal RNA is filed under the name Triticum aestivum (bread wheat). RNAcentral describes it as "partial small subunit ribosomal RNA". The record is from RNAcentral. Lineage: Eukaryota; Viridiplantae; Streptophyta; Magnoliopsida; Poales; Poaceae.
AUGAAGGAGGAGAAAGAAACAAUAGUAACGUGGUCCCGGGCAUCUAGCAUUCUACCCACAAUGGUUGGCCAUACAAUCGCGAUUCAUAAUGGAAAGUAA